UUACAGGCUUAACACAUGCAAGUCGAGGGGCAUCAGGAAGAAAGCUUGCUUUCUUUGCUGGCGACCGGCGCACGGGUGAGUAACACGUAUCCAACCUGCCCUUUACUCGGGGAUAGCCUUUCGAAAGAAAGAUUAAUACCCGAUAGCAUAAUGAUUCCGCAUGGUUUCAUUAUUAAAGGAUUCCGGUAAAGGAUGGGGAUGCGUUCCAUUAGGUUGUUGGUGAGGUAACGGCCCACCAAGCCUUCGAUGGAUAGGGGUUCUGAGAGGAAGGUCCCCCACAUUGGAACUGAGACACGGUCCAAACUCCUACGGGAGGCAGCAGUGAGGAAUAUUGGUCAAUGGGCGCUAGCCUGAACCAGCCAAGUAGCGUGAAGGAUGAAGGCUCUAUGGGUCGUAAACUUCUUUUAUAUAAGAAUAAAGUGCAGUAUGUAUACUGUUUUGUAUGUAUUAUAUGAAUAAGGAUCGGCUAACUCCGUGCCAGCAGCCGCGGUAAUACGGAGGAUCCGAGCGUUAUCCGGAUUUAUUGGGUUUAAAGGGAGCGUAGGUGGACUGGUAAGUCAGUUGUGAAAGUUUGCGGCUCAACCGUAAAAUUGCAGUUGAUACUGUCAGUCUUGAGUACAGUAGAGGUGGGCGGAAUUCGUGGUGUAGCGGUGAAAUGCUUAGAUAUCACGAAGAACUCCGAUUGCGAAGGCAGCUCACUGGACUGCAACUGACACUGAUGCUCGAAAGUGUGGGUAUCAAACAGGAUUAGAUACCCUGGUAGUCCACACAGUAAACGAUGAAUACUCGCUGUUUGCGAUAUACAGUAAGCGGCCAAGCGAAAGCAUUAAGUAUUCCACCUGGGGAGUACGCCGGCAACGGUGAAACUCAAAGGAAUUGACGGGGGCCCGCACAAGCGGAGGAACAUGUGGUUUAAUUCGAUGAUACGCGAGGAACCUUACCCGGGCUUAAAUUGCAGUGGAAUGAUGUGGAAACAUGUCAGUGAGCAAUCACCGCUGUGAAGGUGCUGCAUGGUUGUCGUCAGCUCGUGCCGUGAGGUGUCGGCUUAAGUGCCAUAACGAGCGCAACCCUUAUCUUUAGUUACUAACAGGUUAUGCUGAGGACUCUAGAGAGACUGCCGUCGUAAGAUGUGAGGAAGGUGGGGAUGACGUCAAAUCAGCACGGCCCUUACGUCCGGGGCUACACACGUGUUACAAUGGGGGGUACAGAAGGCAGCUAGCGGGUGACCGUAUGCUAAUCCCAAAAUCCUCUCUCAGUUCGGAUCGAAGUCUGCAACCCGACUUCGUGAAGCUGGAUUCGCUAGUAAUCGCGCAUCAGCCACGGCGCGGUGAAUACGUUCCCGGGCCUUGUACACACCGCCCGUCAAGCCAUGGGAGCCGGGGGUACCUGAAGUACGUAACCGCAAGGAUCGUCCUAGGGUAAAACUGGUGACUGGGGCUAAG
RNAcentral lists this ribosomal RNA (1442 nucleotides) under uncultured organism. RNAcentral describes it as "SSU rRNA". It matches the Rfam family "Bacterial small subunit ribosomal RNA". The record is from RNAcentral.